RNAcentral lists this ribosomal RNA (136 nucleotides) under uncultured eukaryote. RNAcentral's name for it is "partial 18S ribosomal RNA". It matches the Rfam family "Eukaryotic small subunit ribosomal RNA", at positions 1299 to 1458 of the family's 1831-position model. The record is from RNAcentral.
UGGUGGAGUGAUUUGUCUGGUUAAUUCCGUUAACGAACGAGACCUUAUCCUGUUAGUUAGUUGCCUUGUUUUGAUAAUUGGUUAACAUUUUAGAGGAAGUUUGGGUGCUUAACCCAACGUGCUUAAGGCAAUAACA